RNAcentral lists this ribosomal RNA (253 nucleotides) under uncultured bacterium. RNAcentral describes it as "partial 16S ribosomal RNA". It matches the Rfam family "Bacterial small subunit ribosomal RNA", at positions 524 to 776 of the family's 1533-position model. The record is from RNAcentral.
UACGGAGGGGGCUAGCGUUGUCCGGAUUUAUUGGGCGUAAAGAGCGUGUAGGCGGUUCGGUAGGUCCGUUGUGAAAACUCGAGGCUCAACCUCGAGACGCCGAUGGAAACCCUCGAACUAGAGUCCGGAAGAGGAGAGUGGAAUUCCUGGUGUAGCGGUGAAAUGCGCAGAUAUCAGGAAGAACACCCGUGGCUAAGGCGGCUCUCUAGUACGGUACUGACGCUGAGACGCGAAAGCGUGGGGAGCGAACAGG